GAUGAACGCUGGCGGCGUGCCUAACACAUGCAAGUCGAACGGAAAGGCCCUGCUUUUGCUGGGCGCUCGAGUGGCGAACGCGUGAGUAACACGCGAGUAACCCGCCCUUGUCUGUGGGAUAACAUCAGGAAACUGGGGAUAAUACCCGAUAUGAGCUCCUGCUGCACGGGGGGGGUUGGAAAGUUUCGGCGGUUGUGGAUGGACUCGCGGGUUAUCAGCUUGUUGGUCGGGUUGUGGCGUACCAAGCCUUCGACGGGUAGCCGGCCUGGGAGGGGGACCGGCCACAUUGGGACUAAGGGACGGCCCAGACUCCUACGGGAGGCAGCGGUGGGGAGUAUUGCGCAGUGGGCGGAAGCCUGAUACAGCAACGCCGCGUGCGGGAUGACGGCCUUCGGGUUGUAAACCGCUUUCGCCUGUGACGAAGCGUGAGUGACGGUAAUGAGUAAAGAAGCACCGGCUAACUACGUG
This 468-nucleotide ribosomal RNA is filed under the name uncultured bacterium. RNAcentral's name for it is "partial 16S ribosomal RNA". It matches the Rfam family "Bacterial small subunit ribosomal RNA", at positions 28 to 507 of the family's 1533-position model. The record is from RNAcentral.